UACGAAGGGUGCAAGCGUUACUCGGAAUUACUGGGCGUAAAGCGUGCGUAGGCGGUUUGUUAAGUCCGCUGUGAAAGCCCUGGGCUCAACCUGGGAAUUGCAGUGGAUACUGGCAAGCUAGAGUGCGGUAGAGGAUGGUGGAAUUCCCGGUGUAGCGGUGAAAUGCGUAGAGAUCGGGAGGAACACCCGUGGCGAAGGCGGCCAUCUGGACCAGCACUGACGCUGAGGAACGAAAGCGUGGGGAGCGAACAGG
This 253-nucleotide ribosomal RNA is filed under the name uncultured bacterium. RNAcentral's name for it is "partial 16S ribosomal RNA". It matches the Rfam family "Bacterial small subunit ribosomal RNA", at positions 524 to 776 of the family's 1533-position model. The record is from RNAcentral.